UACGAAAGGUGCAAGCGUUACUCGGAAUUACUGGGCGUAAAGCGUGCGUAGGUGGUUUGUUAAGUCUGUUGUGAAAGCCCCGGGCUCAACCUGGGAAUGGCAAUGGAUACUGGCAGGCUAGAGUGCGGUAGAGGGUAGUGGAAUUCCCGGUGUAGCGGUGAAAUGCGUAGAGAUCGGGAGGAACACCAGUGGCGAAGGCGGCUACCUGGACCAGCACUGACACUGAGGCACGAAAGCGUGGGGAGCAAACAGG
Molecule: ribosomal RNA, 253 nt
Filed under: uncultured bacterium
Lineage: Bacteria
Description: partial 16S ribosomal RNA
Rfam family: Bacterial small subunit ribosomal RNA
Source: RNAcentral